This is a long non-coding RNA of Thalassophryne amazonica, 88 nucleotides long. RefSeq lists it as uncharacterized. Lineage: Eukaryota; Metazoa; Chordata; Actinopteri; Batrachoidiformes; Batrachoididae. The record is from RefSeq and is a predicted model, not a curated record. The transcript has 3 exons.
ACCUUUUUGGAAUCUUUGAGAUCAGAUAAAUAAAGUGGUGUAGUUUUAAAUAUGAUUGGAGCAUUUUUAAAAUUUGACCCCUGUGUGG